AUUGAACGCUGGCGGCAUGCCUUACACAUGCAAGUCGAACGGCAGCACGGGAGCUUGCUCCUGGUGGCGAGUGGCGAACGGGUGAGUAAUGCAUCGGAACGUGCCCUGAAGUGGGGGAUAACGUAGCGAAAGUUACGCUAAUACCGCAUAUUCUGUGAGCAGGAAAGCAGGGGAUCUUCGGACCUUGCGCUUUUGGAGCGGCCGAUGUCGGAUUAGCUAGUUGGUGGGGUAAAGGCCCACCAAGGCGACGAUCCGUAGCGGGUCUGAGAGGAUGAUCCGCCACACUGGAACUGAGACACGGUCCAGACUCCUACGGGAGGCAGCAGUGGGGAAUUUUGCACAAUGGGCGCAAGCCUGAUGCAGCGACGCCGCGUGAGGGAUGACGGCCU
This 389-nucleotide ribosomal RNA is filed under the name uncultured bacterium. RNAcentral describes it as "bacterial SSU rRNA". It matches the Rfam family "Bacterial small subunit ribosomal RNA", at positions 30 to 417 of the family's 1533-position model. The record is from RNAcentral.